RNAcentral lists this transfer RNA (73 nucleotides) under Phocaeicola sp. Its description in RNAcentral is "tRNA-Ile". It matches the Rfam family "tRNA". From Rfam's summary of the family: Transfer RNA (tRNA) molecules are approximately 80 nucleotides in length. Their secondary structure includes four short double-helical elements and three loops (D, anti-codon, and T loops). The record is from RNAcentral. RNAcentral also lists the same sequence under 3 other names. Lineage: Bacteria; Pseudomonadati; Bacteroidota; Bacteroidia; Bacteroidales; Bacteroidaceae.
GGUCCUGUAGCUUAGUGGUGAAAGCAGGCGGCUCAUAACCGCAAGAUCGUGGGUUCAAAUCCCUCCGGGACCA